GACGAACGCUGGCGGCGUGCCUAACACAUGCAAGUCGAACGGGGUAGAGAGCUUCGGUUUUCUACUUAGUGGCGAACGGGUGAGUAACGCGUGAGGAACCUGCCUCUCAGUGGGGGACAACAGUUGGAAACGACUGCUAAUACCGCAUAACACUUCCGAAUGGCAUCAUUUGGAAGUCAAAGCUUUAUGUGCUGAGAGAUGGCCUCGCGUCUGAUUAGCUAGUUGGCGGGGUAACGGCCCACCAAGGCGACGAUCAGUAGCCGGUCUGAGAGGAUGAACGGCCACAUUGGGACUGAGAUACGGCCCAG
RNAcentral lists this ribosomal RNA (308 nucleotides) under uncultured bacterium. RNAcentral describes it as "bacterial SSU rRNA". It matches the Rfam family "Bacterial small subunit ribosomal RNA", at positions 28 to 334 of the family's 1533-position model. The record is from RNAcentral.